RNAcentral lists this long non-coding RNA (1377 nucleotides) under Amborella trichopoda. Its description in RNAcentral is "long non-coding RNA (ATRI_LNC003110)". The record is from RNAcentral. Lineage: Eukaryota; Viridiplantae; Streptophyta; Magnoliopsida; Amborellales; Amborellaceae.
UUCUCUUUAUGGCAGAAUAUCACCUACCAACCACUCUACAUUGUUCAAUUCUAUACCUUGGAUUGUUAUGGGGUAUUUCAAUGCAGUUAGAGACCCUAGUGAGAUUGAUAGGGGCAAGAAUCAGUGGUGCAAAGCUAUAUGGUUGUGUGAUGAGUGUGUGAUGAGUGUCUGAUUGAAGCUGAGUUGGAAGACUUGAGCAGAAUAUAGAGUUGAUCACCAUCUUACUUGGUAGAAUAAAGAAGGGGAUGGUCAUCUCAUAUAUAGAAAGCUUGACAGAGUAUUGGUGAAUGAAUGUUGGAGUACAACUGGGCUGUGGCUGAAUUCUAUGCCCCUGCUAUCUCUGACCACUGCCCUGGUAUUGUAAGAGCAGGGAUUGAGCUGAGUAAGACUCACAAGCCAUUCAAUUUCUUCCACUUUUGUUUUGGGCUGAGUCUGAUGAGAAAGCUCUUCUUUAAGCUUGAAGUCAUGUUACGAAGGCUUGGCAAACUGCCGUGAAGGGCCCCAGCCCCUACAUUAGGGGCAGGGGCAACCUCUACCAAGUUUUUCAAAAGCUCAAAGCAGUGAAGCAAGCCUUGAAGGCAUUCAACUCCAAGAAUUGUAAGAAUAUCUCUGAGAAAGUAUCUGAAGCUAGGAACGAUCCAAAGUCAGAACCUUCUAUACCAAGAUAUGGGAAAUGAGACUAGCAGAAGGCAGGAGAAAGAAUGCCUUAUCAACCUUGCCGCAAUGAUGAAGUUGGAACUCAACACUGAAGUUGAAGUUCGACCGUUCGUCCUUAUGAUCCUUCAUUCUUUAACCAACCAAGGGAAUGUUCUGGCACCUAGCCCAUUCGCGGGGAAUGAGCACACCUGCAGUGAAUGUCCGUGAGAACAACCCACUAGCUGGAGUUGGCACAUCAGUUGUUAGUUUAAACGCUGGAGCGAUCAUUGCUACCAACACGGCCAUCCCGGUUGGGCCUGCAACCCGGCGUGCAAAAGGACUGUGCAAUUUGAAAUACACUUGUAAAUGAGAUCACAGCAAGCAUGAGAGCCCGUGGGCAUAUUCAUCUUUCGGAGAUUCUUGCUUAAAAAGAGAAUACUUAUCUAAGAGAGAAAACUGUAAUGUUCUUAUUGUUGGGAAUCAAUUCAAGAUCCAAUUUGAUAGAUUCGCCUUCGGGCACUGAUAUUCUGACUCUCUCAAUUCCUAAGAAGACUGGGGGGAUUCCUAAAGCAUAAUUCUUCUGUGACCGUGGAACAUGCGAGACAUUUACUUUCAGAAAUUGACUUAGUGCAUGCCUUGAUGAAGUAAGGCUCGGGAGAGCAGAAGCAAGUUGUUAUUUUCAAGCUAGAAGGACGCAAAAGAAAGAGGUUUGGCAACUUUAGAAUGCAACACAAUAAGAGG